UACGUAGGCAGCGAGCGUUGUUCGGAGUUACUGGGCGUAAAGCGCACGUAGGCGGCUUUCUAAGUCGGGGGUGAAAUCCUGGAGCUCAACUCCAGAACUGCCUUCGAUACUGGAGAGCUUGAGUCCGGGAGAGGUGAGUGGAACUGCGAGUGUAGAGGUGAAAUUCGUAGAUAUUCGCAAGAACACCAGUGGCGAAGGCGGCUCACUGGCCCGGUACUGACGCUGAGGUGCGAAAGCGUGGGGAGCAAACAGG
This 253-nucleotide ribosomal RNA is filed under the name uncultured bacterium. Its description in RNAcentral is "partial 16S ribosomal RNA". It matches the Rfam family "Bacterial small subunit ribosomal RNA", at positions 524 to 776 of the family's 1533-position model. The record is from RNAcentral.